RNAcentral lists this long non-coding RNA (1205 nucleotides) under Neogobius melanostomus (round goby). RNAcentral describes it as "lncRNA (ENSNMLG00000014025.1)". Lineage: Eukaryota; Metazoa; Chordata; Actinopteri; Gobiiformes; Gobiidae. The record is from RNAcentral.
CCAAAACUUGUGAAAGAAAUGACUUAUGAGUUGAGGGAGUGUGUUAAGUCAGGAGUUUGUGUGUGUAAUAUUGUUACAGUAAAAGAGAUUAGAAGUGAAGUUGGGCUGCUGCAAGGGGAAUUGGAAUACCUGUCAUAUCUGAAGAUGAUUGACUUGUUUUUAUAACUGAGAUGUCUCAAACACAAAAUCCAAGAGACAACCAGGCCUUGCUGCAGUCCAUGUUGCAGAGGCUGAAGCUUCAAGCCGGGAACACAAAUAUCCAGUUUGGACAAAAUACGCAGCAGGAAACUUCAGAUUUACAAACAAUAAAAAACAACAGCAACCCCGUAAAUGGAUUUGAACCGACGGGCAACACAAAAAGGGAUUUUACUGUAACUGGGAAAACGCAGGAAAUUGACAGUUCCUCUGAAUGGAGCAGGGCAUCGGGUCAGAGCAAAGACUUUCCAUCGCAGACCGGGCAACUCUUUUCUCCAAAACCUGUUCAGGAUGCCGCUACUGUUUCUCAUGAAGGAGGAUAUAACAUUACCACUUUCAAAACAGAAAAGGAUAUAUCCAAGGGUCUCAACAACGGAGAAAGUGCUGAACAAAGCCAGGACGAUAAUAGUAGCUUGGGGUCAAGAGUUUAUUCUUGGUCCUCAAAGAGGCCAGACAUCCAAAAUAAUAAAGUGCCAUUUGAGGGAGUGUUUGGAGCUACAGGGCAGAAUACACAGAUAGUAUCUAACAACCAAAACACAACAAACAACAGAAAAUUGAGAUCGUCGGAGAAUAAAACGCGUAGAUGGACUCAAAAAAUCAAAGACAAGUGGAGAGAUAGGCCAGGCAGUUUUGGUAAAAAAGGAAAGGAUGAUUUAUGCGUUGACACAAUAUCACAAGAGACUUCACCUCAAUACCUGCCCCUUACAACAAAGGAUUUUAAUUCACCAUCAAGUGAAGAGUCAGGAGGCACCCCCACAUCUGUGGAGAGCACAGAUCACAACAAAACUAUUUAUCAGACCUCAAACGGCAAUGACGAACAUGUGAGAUCUACAAAUGAUCUUGACCUUGGCCUUGGCUCAUUCAGUCUGCUAGAUGAAAUUGUCAGUGGCCAAGAAUGGGCCAAGUUCUUAAAUCCAUCCAUUUCUGCAGCCGCUCAUGAGCGAUCAUCCACAGAGACUAUGGACCAAAUAUUAACUAAUCACCAUGGUAAAAUUCAGGAAUUAACUUGA